RNAcentral lists this long non-coding RNA (2530 nucleotides) under Androctonus crassicauda. Lineage: Eukaryota; Metazoa; Arthropoda; Arachnida; Scorpiones; Buthidae. The record is from RNAcentral.
CGAAUUUUAAGUGUUUCUUUUUUUUCUUCUUUUAAAAAUAAAAUACCGAAAUGAACUUUUAAUCGUUAUAAUGUUGUAUUGGCUGCAAAAGUUUUGUUACUGAAAAUAUCAAGAAUUGAAAGAAUUCAGCAAUACAAAGCAGAAAACUUGAAAAAAAUUUAUGCAGUAUAUUUGUAUAAUACGUUAAGGCAUCGUUUUUCAAAAUUUAGAUAUCCUGAAACGUUAGAGUAAACCUGCCAAAUAUGCGCCCACUCAUAUUUUGCUCGAAUUUUACUGCCAUUCAUGAUACUGUUAAUGAAACAAGAAGAUUCUUAUUAGUUGAAGUUACGAAGGAAACAUCACGAUGGAAGAAUAAAAUCAAGCAAAAUAUUAUGCAAGUCUAUAAAUUUAUUUAUAAAAGUUAUCCACCAUGGCUUCGUGGCCUCUGAGAGAGUCUACAGUCUCCUCAGGGUGUGAGAUUUUUUAGGAAGUUAAUGGAUGUUACUGAAAGCAAAUUCGUCAUAAAAACAUGAAACUGUGCGAGAUCGCAGAAGUUCCAUAUGUUAAUGAAAGGAUUAAGAAAGGUUACAUGUAUUCUAAUAAAUAUCUGCGUAAGCUAUUUUAUAAAAAGGACACGUUUUAAGAAUAUGCAACUGCUACGAUAAAUUAAAAAGUAAAAAAAAAAAAUUAUUAUGCUACUUUUUAAUUCAUCAUAGCCGUAUCUUUGGUAAAGUAAAAGCGGUGGCAAAGGUAUGGCAAUGCCCACUACGGGCCGUCCACACUUUUAGUGAAGUAAGUUGUCAGGUAGUAGUAUACUAGUCAACUGGAUGGCCCCAGUGACUCAUUUGUAAGCUUUAACUUGUCACGAAGAUAAUCUCCUUGCUAUAGGAGAAUAUAUCUGCGAAAUUUAACUCUGCUUUAAUCAUAGAUGCGGGAGAACCUAGCAUCCCUAGAUCCACAGAGACGAAGGAUAUUUAGAGCGAACCCGCUCAGCCGUCACACUGGGGAUUCGUACGUUCUUUCUGUCCUCUGUGCACGGUAUUACAAAGCAACCGGAAUUGGUCGAGAAAUUCGAUGUAAUCGCCGCUACAGUUUUCGUGCCAGAGGGAUCGUAAACAUAGAGAUAAACUUUGCCGAAUUAUCACAACUGUCAGUUCUUCCGCAAGCAGAAGAACUCCAAGAAAUCAGGCACAUUCGCGACGUAAAAAUGCCAGCAGCUGACCGAAAGGCUUGCACUUGAUCCAAGACAAGAUUUUUACUUACUAUUAUCCCGUGACAGAUAUACACAAUUCAGUAGAGGAAGAGCAUUUGAGGUGCAUAUCUUCACAUGUCGGCAAGAGAUCUCCGUUUAGUAUCCUAUAUAGCUUACAUCCGGCCCAGAAUGAAACUGCCACAAGUUAUCAUAGGAAUAGUAUGAACCGAUGCCAUGAAUCGACCAGGCUCGGACGCUUUGCCACGGCUCAUACUGUUCUGGUAAUAGCUACGGAGUUUUUUAUAUCUUCCAGUGGUAAACAAGCUUUCCACCCGGUCUAAGAGGACAGAUUUCCCCAUCAUCCCGAGUCGAUCGCUUCUCGGAUUGGCACCAUUUAGGCAUUAUCCUUCCGCCAUUCAUCCCUUCAGCAUGGUACGCCACUUUGGGAUUUGGGAUUCUUUAGAUGACUCAUGUUUCAUGCAGAGUAUACGGUGGCCAAUUCUUAAUCCCGAACCUGCAGGGACUGGGCGAUCGAGCGGCGAACAUGUAGAGCGUUCGCCAGCGAGAGAUGGAUGCAGCCAUGCCACCAUCCAGCACCAACCUAAUGGAUGAAUUUUUUCACUUGGGAUAGUAUCUAGAUUACCCGGCUAGGGCUUUUUUGGGUUUAUCCGACACUUCAGGAUCUCUCUAUAGAAAAUAAACCGAGGCCCGAAAACGGAACAGAUUUCAUUUUAACUUAUGUCACACUCGAGUACUGGUGAGUCAAGCCCGACUUAUACGCCGUAGGGACACCGGCAUACGUCUGCACACGCACCAGGCAGGUGUAGGAAUGUCUUGGUAAAAUGCUAUCCCACUGAGAACCUCUUAGUAUAUCUAGACGUUAUGAAUGCAUCGGCCCGGCUCCAAAACAGAUACAGAUAUAGUGCUGCCGACACAAGCCCUUGCCGCAUCAAGGAGAGCCCUCCUCGAGAGAGAUGGUCGCAGUGGAAGCAUGCUGUGUUUUCACUCUGGAGAAUUCGGAUUCAGUACCCGGAUCCUACACCUCAAAAUGUUUAUUCAGGAUAGAUGCAGACAUGCUCAUUGGAUCCCAUGUUUACUUGAUAGCUGAUCACCCCAGAAGUAUGGGUGGUCCUCCGUUUAGUACUCCUCGGAUGAAAAGCCGUACAGGAAAAAAACAUCUUAAUUUAUUUUGAAAUACUAUUAUGAAAGCGUGAAGAAAAUUUUAUUGAAUAAAAACGCAUAUUAAGUAGACAUGGAGAGAAAUAUAUAUAUAUAUAUACAUCAACAAAAGUUGAUUUAAUAAAAUAUCAAUAUCAGUCUGAUUCUUUUGUAUAUCAUCAAUUCACACUUAAGCAGCAC